UUCUCUUAUCUGUAUUUUGUUUCAUGUGGUUUUAUGACUCUUUGAGUCUGUCUCUUAAGAUUUGUAACAUUUUAUUCUUUUCUUUGUUCCAAUCUUCUACUGUACUUUGCUGGCUCAUAUUCAGAUUGACCAUCAGAUACAUAGGAGGUGGAUGACCAUAUAAGGCUGGAUAAGGUGUCAUCUCUAAAGAGGAGUGGUAGUUGGUGUUGUACCACCACUCAGUCAGAGAUAAUCAUUUAAGCCAUCUAUGGGG
Molecule: long non-coding RNA, 253 nt
Filed under: Elaeis guineensis (African oil palm)
Lineage: Eukaryota; Viridiplantae; Streptophyta; Magnoliopsida; Arecales; Arecaceae
Description: long non-coding RNA (EGUI_LNC030126)
Source: RNAcentral